UACGAAGGGGGCUAGCGUUGCUCGGAAUCACUGGGCGUAAAGGGUGCGUAGGCGGGUCUUAAGUCAGGGGUGAAAUCCUGGAGCUCAACUCCAGAACUGCCUUUGAUACUGAAGAUCUUGAGUUCGGGAGAGGUGAGUGGAACUGCGAGUGUAGAGGUGAAAUCGUAGAUAUUCGCAAGAACACCAGUGGCGAAGGCGGCUCACUGGCCCGAUACUGACGCUGAGGCACGAAAGCGUGGGGAGCAAACAGGG
Molecule: ribosomal RNA, 252 nt
Filed under: uncultured bacterium
Lineage: Bacteria
Description: partial 16S ribosomal RNA
Rfam family: Bacterial small subunit ribosomal RNA
Source: RNAcentral